This 37-nucleotide ribosomal RNA is filed under the name Pogona vitticeps (central bearded dragon). The record is from RNAcentral. Lineage: Eukaryota; Metazoa; Chordata; Lepidosauria; Squamata; Agamidae.
GACUGCACCCAGUCUCAUCUGAUUCUGGAAGCUAAGC